This 257-nucleotide ribosomal RNA is filed under the name uncultured bacterium. Its description in RNAcentral is "partial 16S ribosomal RNA". It matches the Rfam family "Bacterial small subunit ribosomal RNA", at positions 526 to 779 of the family's 1533-position model. The record is from RNAcentral.
CGGAGGGUGCGAGCGUUAAUCGGAAUUACUGGGCGUAAAGCGCGCGUAGGUGGCUUGAUAAGCCGGUUGUGAAUGCCCCGGGCUCAACCUGGGAACGGCAUCCGGAACUGUCAAAGCUAGAGUGCAGGAGAGGAAGGUAGAAUUCCCGGUGUAGCGGUGAAAUGCGUAGAGAUCGGGAGGAAUACCAGUGGCGAAGGCGGCCUUUCUGGACUGACACUGACACUGAGGUGCGAAAGCGUGGGGUAGCAAACAGGAUU